This 1023-nucleotide long non-coding RNA is filed under the name Coturnix japonica (Japanese quail). RNAcentral describes it as "lncRNA (ENSCJPG00005004980.1)". Lineage: Eukaryota; Metazoa; Chordata; Aves; Galliformes; Phasianidae. The record is from RNAcentral.
AUGGGGUCCAUGGGGUCUAUGGGGACAUCAUUGGGGUCUAUGGGGUCUAUGGGGUCUAUGGGGACAUCAUUGGGGUCUAUGGGGGCAAUGGGGUCUAUGGGGUCUAUGGGGACAUCAUUGGGGUCUAUGGGGCCUAUGGGGUCUAUGGGGGCAUCAUUGGGGUCUAUGGGGACAUCAUUGGGGUCUAUGGGGGCAUCAGUGGGGUCUAUGGGGUCUAUGGGGUCUAUGGGGGCAUCAUUGGGGUCUAUGGGGUCUAUGGGGUCUAUGGGGUCUAUGGGGACAUCAUUGGGGUCUAUGGGGUCUAUGGGGACAUCAUUGGGGUCUAUGGGGUCUAUGGGGUCUAUGGGGUCUAUGGGGACAUCAUUGGGGUCUAUGGGGUCUAUGGGGUCUAUGGGGUCUAUGGGGUCAUCAUUGGGGUCUAUGGGGUCUAUGGGGUCAUCAUUGGGAUCUAUGGGGUCUAUGGGGUCUAUGGGGUUAUCAUUGGGGUCUAUGGGGGCAUCAUUGGGGUCUAUGGGGGCAUCAUUGGGGGCAUUGGGGCCAUCAUUGGGGUCUAUGGGGCCAUCAUUGGGGUCUAUGGGGACAUCAUUGGGGUCUAUGGGGACAUCAUUGGGGUCUAUGGGGUCAUUGGGGUCUAUGGGGCCAUCAUUGGGGUCUAUGGGGACAUCAUUGGGGUCUAUGGGGUCAAUGGGAUCAAUGGGAUCAAUGGGGUCAUUGGGAUCAAUGGGGUCAAUGGGUUCAAUGGGAUUAAGGGGCUCAAUGGGGUCAAUGAGAUCAAUGGGGUCAAUAGGGUCAAUAGGAUCAGUGGGAUCAAUAGGAUCAAUGGGGAUCAAUGGGGGUCAAUGGGGAUUAAUGGGAUCAAUGGGCUCAAUGGGAUCAAUGGGGUCAUUGGGAUUAAUGGGCUCAAUGGGCUCAAUGGGGUCAAUGGGAUUUAAACCCCCCCCACCCCCAUUCAUACCCCCACCUGACCGCCCCCUGCGCUCCCAUUGGCUGAAGCCGACGCAGAGUCGCCGUCCUAUUGGCUGA